AAACCCAAGUUGGAGAAGGGGAGCACGUGCAAACUCCAUGCAUCGACUACGUCUCGACUUUCAAGGAUCGAAAUUUGCACGUGCCCUGCUUCUCCAACACGAGUUA
This 106-nucleotide microRNA precursor is filed under the name Olea europaea subsp. europaea. The stretch from base 11 to 98 matches the Rfam family "MIR164 microRNA precursor family". The record is from RNAcentral. Lineage: Eukaryota; Viridiplantae; Streptophyta; Magnoliopsida; Lamiales; Oleaceae.